Molecule: non-coding RNA, 2211 nt
Organism: Malus domestica (apple)
Lineage: Eukaryota; Viridiplantae; Streptophyta; Magnoliopsida; Rosales; Rosaceae
Source: RefSeq, a predicted model, not a curated record
AAAUGGAACAUCACCAAGCUCAUAAAAUAUUUUCCAUAAACGCUUCAUUCAAACUAUAUGCGGUUUGAUUCCCUUCCCGAGAUAUGUAGGCAGUCCGCUUCGGACACAAUCACAACGCUGCCGUCUGCACGAAACCAAGUCCAUGGAGAACUCAUCUCCUUACACCCCACCAUAGGCUUAUUGUCAAAAGUGGUCCUUGUUGUAUUUCUUACUUCAUAUAAUCUUUUUGCUUAGAACAAGGCCAGUUUCUCCAUCCCGAAGAUAUGUAGGCAAUCCUUUCUGAAUUCAAUCACACUCUUUUGUUAAUCACCCCUGUUUUGAUUAUGAAUAAAGGAGUUCAUAUUUUAAUGUUUGUUCCAUCUUUUCUUUUUGGUGGAGCAGGGAACACCUUACUCAUCCCAGACAAAGCACAAACAUUGAAAAUUUCACAUGAAGGCAAGUCUAAAAAAUUUCAGACACCCGAUUCACAAAGUACCUACUUUCACAGACACCCGAUUGCCUUUUGCUCCAAAACAGCAGCACCCGAAACGCCAACACCACCGACCUCUCCUUGGUCGACCUCGACAAACCCUCAGGCAAGAACGACGUCGUAAUCAAGCUUCCCAAAGACCCCAAUGUCCCGAAUUUCGGUGUGCAAAUUGUGGGUUCCUGCAAUGGCUUCCUCUGCGUAUACGAUAGGCUUAACAGCUGCCGGUUUUACAUCUCCAAUCCCGUUAUUGGUGAGUCCAUAACUCUUCCAAGAUUUCCCAAGGACAUUGGUUUUCCAUUUCUUUAUGGGUUUGGGUUUUGUCCUGUCGAUGGUGACUAUAAAUUAGUUGUGGUUUCAUCUACGAGUAACGGACUGAAAUCGAAUGAAUGGGAGGUAAUGGUUUUGACUGUUGGCACUGGAAGUUGGAGAAAUGUUGGGAAUUCCGUAUACCCUUUUGGGAACCAAUGGUAUGGGGUUUAUCAUGAUGGUUUUCUUCAUUGGAUUGCUCGUGGCGACAAUUCUGUAUUGAUGCCUUUGAUGUUGAAAGUGAGUGUUUCCAAGAGUUGCCAUUACCGCCUUGUUCUUUGGGAAAGCGUCUUGUUAACCUUGCAGUCCUGAGAGGCUGCCUCUCUGUAUACGUUAUCUCGUUGGGAAGUAUCAAUGUUUGGGUGAUGAAAGAUUAUGGCAUUAAGGAAUCGUGGGCCGGAGAGCUUGUCAUGCAGCAAGUGAUUGGGUACAGAACUAGUUUUUCUGCUACUCAAUUGUUGAAAGAAGGGCCAAGUGGUGUUUUUACUUAAGUAUAAACUGAGGGUUUAUACUCAUGGAAAAAGGGGCUCUGCUGCGGUUGAAGUUGAUGGAAUACCAUAAAUGGUUGAAGCAUUUGUCCAUAUUCCAAGCUUUGUUUCUCUUAAGGAUGCCAUCAUGGAUUGGAGCUCAGAGAUGGUGCACGUUAGGCUCCUGGUAGAUUCCAUUCCCUGAUGCCUGAUGGGCUUUCUUUGAAGUACUUUAGUCACUGUGGCACAUAAAUGUAGGUAGUUUACUCAAAUCCAACCUUUAACUCUGUUGAGAGCUCAUGGUUUGCUGAAUAUUUUCUCGUACAGUACAUCCAUAGGCUUUGUGCGAAAGCUACAGCAUUUUCAUGCAAGGUCUUGCUGCAUAAGGGCACUAAUGAUAUGGGAAGCCAUUUGAAUUGGCGUGGUUUUGGAAGAAAAUAUGAUAAACUGAGAAGAAAACAUGGUGUAAUAUAUGGUAUAUUGUUAAGAAAUUAUAAAUAAAAUGAGGAAAAGUAAUUCCCUAGCUUACCUCUGUUGAUUGCUUUAUCCAUAGUGAUCUUUGAUUGAAAUUUGCCUGUCUGUUAUUUCGUAUUGUUUUACAGAAAUAGAUGAGACGGUGUUUGGAAGUUAUGGAUUAGCUCACAGAUGAUGAAAAGUUGAAAACAGAUUAUAUUGGUGAAGAAGAUAUAUCCUCUUGAGAAGAAAGACUCUCAGAACGUUCAUGCUUCAAGAUUAGAAACGCUGUUCGAUUUGGUUCAUGGUUGCAUUAGGUCUUUAACCGUGACGUUAUGGUUAGGAUUCGAGUUCUAAACUAGGGGAGUUUGUUAAGUUGGUAAUACCAAUCUGUAAUCUAUGUCAUCUGCAUAUAUGUUCAAUUUUUCAAGAGGACUCAAACUGUGUUUUGCUGCAUGCAUUCGGAAUCAUAAUUUGAGGCUCCCGCUUUAUGAAUUGUUUUAACUUUUGUUUUAA